CUCGUAGGUGGCCAACUAAGUCGGACGUGAAAUCCCUCGGCUUAACCGGGGAACUGCGUCCGAUACUGGUUGGCUUGAGUUUGGGAGAGGGAUGCGGAAUUCCAGGUGUAGCGGUGAAAUGCGUAGAUAUCUGGAGGAACACCGGUGGCGAAGGCGGCAUCCUGGACCAAUACUGACGCUGAGGAGCGAAAGCCAGGGGAGCAAACGG
This 208-nucleotide ribosomal RNA is filed under the name uncultured bacterium. Its description in RNAcentral is "partial 16S ribosomal RNA". It matches the Rfam family "Bacterial small subunit ribosomal RNA", at positions 568 to 775 of the family's 1533-position model. The record is from RNAcentral.